ACGGGAGGCCGCAGUGGGGAAUAUUGGGCAAUGGGCGAAAGCCUGACCCAGCAACGCCGCGUGAAGGAAGAAGGUCUUCGGAUUGUAAACUUCUUUUAUGAGGGACGAAGGACGUGACGGUACCUCAUGAAUAAGCCACGGCUAACUACGUGCCAGCAGCCGCGGUAAUACGUAGGUGGCAAGCGUUAUCCGGAUUUACUGGGUGUAAAGGGCGCGUAGGCGGGGAUGCAAGUCAGAUGCGAAAUCUAUGGGCUUAACUCAUAAACUGCAUUUGAAACUGUAUCUCUUGAGUGCGGGAGAGGUAGACGGAAUUCCUUGUGUAGCGGUGAAAUGCGUAGAUAUAAGGAAGAACACCAGUGGCGAAGGCGGUCUACUGGACAGUAACUGACGCUGAGGAGCGAAAGCGUGGGGAGCAAACAGGAUUAGAUACCCUGGUA
Molecule: ribosomal RNA, 437 nt
Filed under: uncultured Oscillospiraceae bacterium
Lineage: Bacteria; Bacillati; Bacillota; Clostridia; Eubacteriales; Oscillospiraceae
Description: bacterial SSU rRNA
Rfam family: Bacterial small subunit ribosomal RNA
Source: RNAcentral